This is a long non-coding RNA of Ochlerotatus camptorhynchus, 1677 nucleotides long. RefSeq lists it as uncharacterized. The transcript has 2 exons. NCBI's taxonomy places the organism in Eukaryota, Metazoa, Arthropoda, Insecta, Diptera, Culicidae. The record is from RefSeq and is a predicted model, not a curated record.
CGGUGGUGAAGAUCAAUCGAAAACAAUGACCAUCUACUACAAAAGAUCCCCUUCUAUUCUUCACCGGUAUUUCCCUAGCACCACAAUAGAUCGCUAUCCGGGACGUCUGGAGGAAGGUCGUACACUCUGACGUACUGAACGGUGCCCCCCGCAGGCGACAUACGUACCUCCACUGAUUUCCCAUCGGCAUAAUGGUUCACGGUUGUGCAACAAACAAUUAAGCAUCGAUUCUUCUGAUUUGAACUUGAGGAACAUAGAUUUUCCAUCCGUUAUAGAUGGUUCCCUCCCAUAGAUGGGAGCGCUGAGGUCUUCACCGAUAGCUUCUCUGUUGGUGGAGAAUGGAAAAGUUCCUUUGGUGAAUGUUGUCACCGAAAACCUGGCCACCAAGGCACUGAGGCUCCUAGAAAGGGAUCCCAUUCUCAAUGACAGGCCCACGGUUGCAAGGGCGAGAGAAUGGUGGAGCGACUUGACGGGAGUAGAUUUUCCCACGUUAGCCCAGCGAGCUAGGCUGUGGCAACGGGCAUGGGACGCUACUGCCCCGAAAGUUGAUUGGAGGGUUAAAGCUAUGUGCGGGGCGGGGGCCAGCUCUGAUGUGGCGAAAGCUGCAUUUAGAGAGGUCGCUGCCUCAUACGAGGGAAGGCCCAAGCUAUUUACGGACGGCUCAUUAAUCUAAGAGGAAGUUGGUUAUGGGGUGUCUGGGGAGGACCUAAGCCGCUGCAGCCGGUUACCCGGUCUCUGUGGUAUCUUCUCAGCUGAGGCCUAUGCUCUCCUGCAAGCUUGUAGGCUAGCAAAUGGAUCUCAGGCCGUUGUAUUAUCUGACUCUGCGAGUUGUCUCUCUACCCUUGAGCAUGAGCAGGUUGGACACCCCUGGCUGUUAGAAGUGCAGCGGUACGCUAACAUAACCUUUGUAUGGGUACCUGGACACGCAGGUAUACCAGGGAAUGAGGCUGCUGAUAAACUAGCUAACCAGGGUCGUCUUGCUCAGCUAGAGGCCACUCCGCAGACCUCGCGAUACGCAUGGAAUGUGUAUUGGCAUAACAACCGUGAUGCAUUCCUGCGUAGAAUCAAGAAUACUACACAAGAGUGGAAGGAUGCUCCUAAUUCUCGAGAUCAGAAAGUUCUGACUCGGCUGAGGAUUGGUCAUACACGGCUCACUUAUGGACCUCGUUUUAGCGGCAGUGUGGCCUACUGCCAGGGAUGCGGUGCGGUUUUAGAUGUUAAUCAUCUAUUGGUGGAGUGCCCGGCAAGAGCACAAUUGAGGGAAGAUAUGGGUGUCGUUGGUUCAAUCCGAGAGGUAUUGUUCAAGGACAGGAGUACAGAACAAACUGUACUCAACUUCCUGUGGGCGGUUGACUUAUACGAUAUGAUAUAAGCAUGAUUAAGUUGAUGUGGCAUUGGAAAGAAAAUGACUGGUAUAGUCACGCCACUUCAUUCGACAAGAGGCAGUCUUUAAGGUCCUAAAGACCAUGGUGUGUGAGGGAGGACGACUGACCUAAUGGGGGACGAUGAUGAAACAGUUUGAAACCCGUCUCGAAUGAAUUAAACUCUUCUCGUGCAGGGGAACAGUUUAAAGAGACGUUAGUAACCUUAGCCACAGCCUCCCAUAGAUGGUUUCGCACUGCCAUGUGCGAAGCUGAAUCGUCAGCUUUAUUUCAACGGACAUCUCCAGUUGUUUGC